Long non-coding RNA from Bos taurus (domestic cattle), 734 nucleotides. NCBI's taxonomy places the organism in Eukaryota, Metazoa, Chordata, Mammalia, Artiodactyla, Bovidae. The record is from Ensembl.
AAAACAUCUGCCCUCUUUGCACCAUGGAGGCUGAAUUACCAGACAGAGCUCAUCUACCAAUGCAGCCUUGAGAGCCAGAAGCUUGGGUCUGCAGAGGGGAAAUGGAAAUGAAAAUGUCUGCAUAGGAGCACCCCCACCCCUACAUGCUAAGUCAUUCGGACAGACAGCCGUGCAAGGUAGACAGAAGAAGUGAAGAAGUGAAGUCGCUCAGUCGUGUCGGACUCUUUGCGACCCUGUAGACUGUAGCCUGCCAGGAUCCUCUGUCCAUGGGAUUCUCCAGGCAAGAAUACUGGAGUGGGUUGCCAUUUCCUUCUCCAGAGGAUCUUCCCAACCCAGGGACUGAACCUGCAUCUCCUGCAUUUCAGGCAGACGCUUUAUCCUCUGAGCCACCAGGGAAGGUAGACAAAACUGAUAUUCUAUUUCAUCCUUGAAGAAGCUAAGAAGUUAGAUGAUGAGCCCAAGGUCCCCCUGCUGCUGGAUUCUUAACCACUGGACCACGAGGGAAAUCCCUGAUGGCUGGAUAUAAUUUAGAUAUGUGGAGACACGGAAGAGUUUUAAGAAGAGGAAAAAGCAUCAUCUCACAUGGCGACAGAGGAUGAGAUGGUUGGAUGGCAUCAAUGACUCAAUGGACAUGAGUUUGAACAAACUCUGGGAGAUGGUGAAGGACAAGGGAGCCUGGCCUGCUGCAGCCCAUAGGGUCGCAGUCAGACUCGACUUAGCUGCUGAACAACAAU